GCAUGGCCCAUGGAAGAAAAGGUGGCCUCUACCUGUAAGCUAUCGCCUGAAGAGGGGUUUGCGUCUGAUUAGCUGGUUGGAGGGGUAACGGCCCACCAAGGCGACGAUCAGUAGCCGGUCUGAGAGGAUGAACGGCCACACUGGAACUGAGACACGGUCCAGACUCCUACGGGAGGCAGCAGUGGGGAAUCUUCCGCAAUGGGCGAAAGCCUGACGGAGCAACGCCGCGUGAGUGAUGACGGCCUUCGGGUUGUAAAACUCUGUGAUCCGGGAUGAAAAGGCAGAGUGCGAAGAACAAACUGCAUUGACGGUACCGGAAAAGCAAGCCACGGCUAACUACGUGCCAGCAGCCGCGGUAAUACGUAGGUGGCAAGCGCCGUCCGGAAUUAUUGGGCGUAAAGCGCGCGCAGGCGGCUUCCCAAGUCCCUCUUAAAAGUGCGGGGCUUAACCCCGUGAUGGGAAGGAAACUGGGAAGCUGGAGUAUCGGAGAGGAAAGUGGAAUUCCUAGUGUAGCGGUGAAAUGCGUAGAGAUUAGGAAGAACACCGGUGGCGAAGGCGACUUUCUGGACGAAAACUGACGCUGAGGCGCGAAAGCGUGGGGAGCAAACAGGAUUAGAUACCCUGGUAGUCCACGCCGUAAACGAUGGAUACUAGGUG
RNAcentral lists this ribosomal RNA (657 nucleotides) under uncultured bacterium. RNAcentral's name for it is "bacterial SSU rRNA". It matches the Rfam family "Bacterial small subunit ribosomal RNA", at positions 186 to 822 of the family's 1533-position model. The record is from RNAcentral.